CCUGGAGGCCAACACACUUCACCGCGUCCGCCUGGGGCAGGUCAGAUAAGGGACCCGAGGCAGCGCUAUCACCGGAUUCCGUGAGCCGCAGCGCCCUGGGCCCCGCUGAUCUUGUAUCAUUUCAGGGACUUUCUCUCCAGUCUUUGAUGGGGCCACACUCGGGGAGUAAAUUAGGAUCCUCAUUGAAGGGGCAGGACCCUGGGGGGCUUUUUCCUGGCCUGUUAGUUGUGGGUUUUCCUUCGGACGGCGGAGCCCCUUUCCAUUAGAACGGCCCAGAGGCAGGCGCUGCCUUCCCGGGGAGACGGAGCAGCAGGAAGCGUUUUCAGAUCCUGGAAUCCGUGGGCGGCCCGUGGGAGGGACUGAGGCGCAUUUUCCUACUCACCUGGCUCGGAAUCCACCGCGGUGCUGUUUAAAGAGAGUCAGAUUCCAGGUCGCGCUCCAGCCCGGACUCGGAAUUCCUGCCCCGCGGGUCUGCAUUUCACAGCGGCAGGUACCAGGGCGGGGUGACGGGUCAUCCCAGUCCUCGCAGUGAACUCCGGGCCACAGACUUGAAAACGCGCGCGGGCGCCCAGCGCAGCCUCGUCCUGAGUUACACAAGCGACCGUGCUGGGACGUUUCUCUUUCUUUUCCGGACCCAGCAGUGGCGCCUAAAGUCUGCGAGGAGAAAAUCUCCUGUGUGCUGGGAAGUCCAGGAAUCGAAGGGCCCCACAGUCUUCAUUACAACCUCACAGUGCUGUCCCGGGAUGGAUCUGUGCAGUGAGGGUUUCUCGCUGAGGGACAUCUGGAUGGUCAGCCCUUCCUGCUCUAUGACAGGCAGAAAUGCAACGCAAGGCCCCAGGGACAGUGGGCGGAAGCGGUUCUGGCAGCUGAGACCUGGGACAUGGAGACUGAGGACUUGACAGAGAACAGGCCGUACCUCAGAAGGGCCCUGGUACAUAUCAAGGGCCAGAAAGGAGACUCAGGAAUGGACAGUAUCCCAGUCCUCCAGAGCUCAGACCUUUGCUAUGAACAUCACAAAUAUCUAGAAGGAAGAUGCUAUGCAGGCCAAGAUACACUCCCGCCCUGUAUGGGGAGACUUCAGGCAGAAACUACAGUGCAUCUGGAAUCUUGUGUGGGUGUCAGGAGAACAGAGCCACUGGAAAAAGACAGCGGGUCAAGGACUGAAGAGUCCAGUGUCAUAAUCUGGGGAAGCAGUGGGCCCUCUGACAGAAGCCUGAACCUGGGUGGGUGUCAGGCAGGAGAGGAAGCCCCAGGGCCAAGGCUGCCCCAUCUGCCUCCCAGCCUGCCCAUUCCAAAGAGUUCCUCUGGCCCCAUGUACCAGGAGCCCAAUCCUGACCUUCCCCUCCUCAGCAUCAAUGCAGGGAUCCCAGAGCAUAAAGACACAGUCUUGAGGCCCAUCCUUCUGCCAGCCUAG
This 1414-nucleotide long non-coding RNA is filed under the name Piliocolobus tephrosceles (Ugandan red Colobus). Its description in RNAcentral is "lncRNA (ENSPTEG00000022071.1)". Lineage: Eukaryota; Metazoa; Chordata; Mammalia; Primates; Cercopithecidae. The record is from RNAcentral.